Molecule: non-coding RNA, 171 nt
Filed under: bovine gut metagenome
Source: RNAcentral
UGCUUUCAGUGCCUUUCCGAAGGGAAAGGGUAAAAGGGAAUCAGGUGUGAAUCCUGAGCGAUCCGGUCACUGUGAGCGGGGAGGGAGCGCUACAUAUGCCAUUGCGCCUUAUCGGCGUGAGAAGGCGGCGGUCUCCCGGUGAUCCGCAAGUCAGGAAACCUGCUGCAGAGC